Chelonia mydas (Green sea turtle) is the source of this 1809-nucleotide RNA transcript. It is a transcript of the gene named transcriptional adaptor 2A, with no coding region annotated. The transcript is spliced from 16 exons. The record is from RefSeq and is a predicted model, not a curated record. Lineage: Eukaryota; Metazoa; Chordata; Testudines; Cheloniidae.
AUGGUACCCUGGUAAACACAUUAGCUGGUGUUGGUGUUACACCGAGGAGUGUUGUACAAGGAGGGGUGCUUUUACUGCUGUUCUGAAGAAGAACACAAGUGUGAGGAGGAUGGAGCGCCUGGCCUCCUUCAGUAAUGACCCUUUUGAUAAACCACCUUGCAGAGGCUGCUCUUCCUACCUCAUGGAACCAUACAUCAAAUGUGCAGAAUGUGGGCCUCCUCCCUUUCUCCUGUGUUUGCAGUGUUUCACACGAGGAUUUGAGUAUAAGAAACACCAGAGUGAUCAUACUUAUGAAAUCAUGACGUCAGAUUUUCCUGUCCUGGAUCCCAGCUGGACAGCUCAGGAGGAAAUGGCACUUCUAGAGGCCGUGAUGGAUUGUGGAUUUGGAAACUGGCAGGACGUGGCCAAUCAGAUGUGCACAAAAGCAAAGGAGGAGUGUGAGAAACAUUAUAUGAAACACUUCAUCAACAAUCCCUUGUUUGCAUCUACAUUGCUGAACUUGAAGCAGGCAGAAGAGGCACAAAACGCUGACAUGGCCAUUCCAUUCCACCCUGCUGAUGAUCCUCCACGACCUACCUUUGAUUCCUUGCUCUCCAGGGACAUGGCUGGGUAUAUGCCAGCUAGAGCUGACUUUAUUGAGGAAUUUGACAACUAUGCUGAAUGGGAUUUGAGAGAUAUAGAUUUUGUGGAAGAUGAUUCAGACAUUUUACAUGCUUUGAAGAUUGCAGUUGUAGAUAUCUAUCACUCCAGGUUAAAGGAAAGGCAGAGGAGAAAAAAAAUUAUAAGAGACCAUGGCCUUAUCAACCUCAGAAAAUUUCAGAUUUUGGAGAGACGAUACCCAAAGGAGGUCCAAGACCUUUAUGAAACAAUGCGACGGUUUGCAAGAAUUUUAGGCCCAGUGGAGCAUGACAAGUUCAUUGAAAGCCAUGCACUGGAAUUCGAACUGCGAAGAGAAAUAAGGCGUCUACAGGAAUACAGGACGGCAGGAAUCACUAACUUCUGUAGUGCAAGAACUUACGAUCACCUCAAGAAGACGCGAGAGGAGGAGCGCCUAAAGCGCACGAUGCUUUCCGAAGUCCUCCAGUACAUCCAGGACAGCAGCGCCUGCCAGCAAUGGCUCAGUCGACAAGCUGACAUUGAUUCUGGCCUGAGUCCCACAAUGCCAGUUGCUUCAAAUUCAGGUAGACGGAGUGCCCCCCCACUGAACCUCACAGGUCUCCCAGGCACAGAGAAACUUAACGAGAAGGAGAAAGAGUUCAGCCAGCUCAGACCAAAGGACUAAACCUCAGUCAACCGUAUUAGGCCAAACCUACUGAAGUUGAGUUAUAACACUAUGAUGAUCAAUGGAAGAUGAAACAGUUCAUUCUUGCUUUUUUGUGCUUUGUCCAAAUUUCUGCCCUUGGAUGUGCAUACUAGGCUCCUAGUAACUUUGGUGAGAGCUGCACAUUUCAAAGAGCAGAAUUUGGCCUUCUUUAAGAAACUUUUGUUAACUUGGCCUAGUAAUUGAGCACUGCGCUACCAUAUAGAAUACCAUGGUUCAUCUCCCAAUUCCUAUGAGAGACUGACUUAUCUGGCUAAUUAAAAACAGCCCUGGAAGGUUGAUGGGAGUCCCAUCUACUAAUCUUUCAAAUGGAAGAUGGUGGUCUUGACAUGGAGGAAGACAAUAGAAACAAGCUCUGUCAGAUGGUGAGAUUGGUUCCUGGAGCCUAUUUAGAAUAUAAAGCUGCUUUAGUGAAUGAGUGUAACAAGCAAGGAGGCUUGAGAUUAGCCCAGGCUAGAGCACUCAUCAAGAUCGACGUGAACAAAACC